This 892-nucleotide ribosomal RNA is filed under the name Helicobasidium longisporum I. RNAcentral describes it as "LSU rRNA". It matches the Rfam family "Eukaryotic large subunit ribosomal RNA", at positions 27 to 914 of the family's 3401-position model. Lineage: Eukaryota; Fungi; Basidiomycota; Pucciniomycetes; Helicobasidiales; Helicobasidiaceae. The record is from RNAcentral.
UUUGAACUUAAGCAUAUCAAUAAGCGGAGGAAAAGAAACUAACAAGGAUUCCCCCAGUAACGGCGAGUGAAGAGGGAACAGCCCAAAUUUGUAAUCUGGCCCCUUUGGGGUCCGAGUUGUAAUCUCGAGAACUGUUUUCCGCGCCGGACCAUGUACAAGUCUGUUGGAAUAUAGCUUCAUAGAGGGUGAGAAUCCCGUACAUGACAUGGACUACCGGUGCUUUGCGAUACAGUCUCUAAGAGUCGAGUUGUUUGGGAAUGCAGCUCAAAUUGGGUGGUAAAUUCCAUCUAAGGCUAAAUAUUGGCGAGAGACCGAUAGCGAACAAGUACCGUGAGGGAAAGAUGAAAAGCACUUUGGAAAGAGAGUUAACAGUACGUGAAAUUGUUGAAAGGGAAACGCUUGAAGUCAGCCUUGUUCUUGGUUGUUCAGCCCUCCGUGGCGUAUUCAACUUUGAGCAGGCCAGCAUCAGUUUUGGGUGCUGGAUAAGGGCUUAGGAAAUGUGGCAGCCUUGGCUGUGUUAUAGUCCUUUGCUUGAUACAGCGCUCCGGGACUGAGGAAUGCAGCGAGCCUUUUGGCGGGUCCAUUUAUGGACCUUCUCGCUUUGGAUGCUGGCGUAAUGGCUUUAAACGACCCGUCUUGAAACACGGACCAAGGAGUCUAACAUGCUUGCGAGUAUUUGGGUGGCAAACCCGGAUGCGUAAUGAAAGUGAAUGAAGGUGGGAACCGCAAGGUGCACCAUCGACCGGUCCGGAUUUUUAAUGAUGGAUCCGAGUAAGAGCAAGCACGUUGGGACCCGAAAGAUGGUGAACUAUGCCUGAAUAGGGUGAAGCCAGAGGAAACUCUGGUGGAGGCUCGUAGCGGUUCUGACGUGCAAAUCGAUCGUCGAAUUUGG